CUCUGGGCGUGGCGCUGGCUGUGGUCCCCUGGAAGGUCACGUCCUUCACCCAAAGACGAGCCGACAGACAACUUCCAGACUCUCUUGCUGACUCCGGGGAAUGAGGGGAGGCUCACGCAUGCCCCGUGGGGUCCUUUCUGGUCCAUUUGGAUAUACUAUUUCUUCUUGACUUGGAUGCUUUUUGAAAAUAGAAAAUCUCACCUGUGAUACGACAGAUUCGCUUGAAGAUCUACGGAGGUGCAGCUUCCCGGCAUCAGAACUUCAGGUGUUGGCUGUGCCUUUUCUACAGAGCCCAUGGACAAUGGCUUGCAGCCCCAUCAGAGACUUGUAUGUGAGGACAGCCCCUCAUUUUCCCAGAGGAAACCCACACUUUGCUAAUUGAAGAAUGACCCAGAACUUGAAUCUGAACCUCCUCUUUCCUUCCGGCUGGGAUGCCUUCAACAGAGAACCAUCUCUGCAGCGGCAUGUGCGGGGAGGCAGGUGUACAUGUGGAAUAACCGGGGUGCAAAGCCCAUUCAGGCUUCUACCCACCACAUGACCUGGGUCAAAAUUUUCCAUAUC
Molecule: non-coding RNA, 561 nt
Organism: Microcebus murinus (gray mouse lemur)
Lineage: Eukaryota; Metazoa; Chordata; Mammalia; Primates; Cheirogaleidae
Source: RefSeq, a predicted model, not a curated record